RNAcentral lists this transfer RNA (77 nucleotides) under Opitutaceae bacterium. RNAcentral's name for it is "tRNA-Arg". It matches the Rfam family "tRNA". From Rfam's summary of the family: Transfer RNA (tRNA) molecules are approximately 80 nucleotides in length. The record is from RNAcentral. Lineage: Bacteria; Pseudomonadati; Verrucomicrobiota; Opitutia; Opitutales; Opitutaceae.
GGGGCCGUAGCUCAAUUGGAUAGAGCAGUUCCGUCCUAAGGAAACGGUUGGGGGUUCGACUCCCUCCGGCCUCACCA